UGGGCGUCCGGCGGAAACUACAGGGCUUGGGACCGGAAGACUUGAGGGGUACGUCUGGGGUAGGAGUGAAAUCCUGUAAUCCUGGACGGACCGCCGAUAGCGAAAGCACCUCAAGACGACGGAUCCGACAGUGAGGGACGAAAGCUAGGGUCUCGAACCGGAUUAGAUACCCGGGUAGUCCUAGCUGUAAACGAUGUUCG
Molecule: ribosomal RNA, 200 nt
Filed under: uncultured archaeon
Lineage: Archaea
Description: partial 16S ribosomal RNA
Rfam family: Archaeal small subunit ribosomal RNA
Source: RNAcentral